This 54-nucleotide ribosomal RNA is filed under the name Enterocytozoon bieneusi. Its description in RNAcentral is "partial large subunit ribosomal RNA". The record is from RNAcentral. Lineage: Eukaryota; Fungi; Microsporidia; Enterocytozoonidae.
CAGUAGGGUGCCAUCAAGAGGUGUGUUUGGAAAUAUCCCUAAUAAAAGGAUCAC